GACGGAGGGUGCUAGCGUUGUUCGGAAUUACUGGGCGUAAAGGGCGCGUAGGCGGCUGCUCAAGUCGGGUGUGAAAGCCCGGGGCUUAACCCCGGAACGGCACCCGAGACUGGGCGGCUCGAGACCGGGAGAGGUGGGUGGAAUACCCAGUGUAGAGGUGAAAUUCGUAGAUAUUGGGUGGAACACCGGUGGCGAAAGCGGCUCACUGGCCCGGUUCUGACGCUGAGGCGCGAAAGCGUGGGGAGCAAACAGG
Molecule: ribosomal RNA, 253 nt
Filed under: uncultured bacterium
Lineage: Bacteria
Description: partial 16S ribosomal RNA
Rfam family: Bacterial small subunit ribosomal RNA
Source: RNAcentral